RNAcentral lists this long non-coding RNA (1467 nucleotides) under Felis catus (domestic cat). RNAcentral's name for it is "lncRNA (ENSFCAG00000043267.2)". Lineage: Eukaryota; Metazoa; Chordata; Mammalia; Carnivora; Felidae. The record is from RNAcentral.
AUGCACUUGAGUCACAGGGAGGGCUCUGUCCUCCAGCGUAGCCUGUUUGCAAUAAUGUUGAUACCUGAAUCCCCAUCUGUCCGGUUUCUGAGUCUGAAUCGGUUCCCAAGGCCAGGACAAGGCGUGCUGUUUCUCCCUGGCUUCCUCACACUCUGGCAGCACGCAAGGGAGAGAUCAGAUAUGCGAUUCUGCUGUGUUAGAGCCAGGAGAAAGUCGCCCCCCUCCCCGGGUCUGGCUUGUGACAGGAGGAGGGGGGAGGAAUGGGGACACCCUUUCCCCACCUCUUCUCCCCAGACACGCUCUACUAAAUUUCCGUUCCUCAGGGAGCUAUUGAGACUAUACCAUAGACCCAGAAGGUCAAUGCCAGGAGGAGCCUUGGCAAGCAAAUAUUCUGCUCGGGGCCGAGGAGACCACUCCGUACGAUGUUUACGCGCGUUCUCCUGCGUCAUGUUUUCUGUGAGACCUCUCAGAUGUUUCCAGAAGAAAGGUAUACGUUUUCAAUUCAUAAACAACAACAACAUAAGAAAACCAUUUCUUUCUGUGCCCAUUGCCCUCCCUUUGGCCCUUCGAGUAAGGAGAGAACAGAUCUGGCCCUGAGUCGUUGGUACAGGGACAUUCUUGAGUUUCACAGAGGCAACACCAGAGAAGCCAGACCUGUGUGAACGUGGGAAGGGGAGCCUGCAAGAUUCCCACAGCGGGAGGGCCCCCAAAGGUGGGACCCCACACAUCAAGACCUCCACGGACAAAGCUGGACCCUCCCCCUGUUGAGCUGGGCUGUGGCCAAGAGGCCUUUUAGCAAAGGACUGUGGGUCCCGCAGGGAUUGAUCGACUCCCUGCAAGUGUGGCUGGAGACAGGUCCGAGCUGGCAAGAUAGGAGGAAAAUCCCAGGACCUUCGGUGCCCCCCUCCCCAGCCCAUCUUGAACAAAACACCUCUCUCCAGCACAACCCUGGCACUUCUUUUCUCCUCUUCAUUUAGCGAAGGAAAGAAAAUCGAGGAGGUCACGUUUCUAGACAUCUCAAGCUCCAGAUCCAAACUCCCGCCCAAGGAACCGCGCACUUUUGGGAGAGCCCAGGGUGUCUCAGACAGCUCUGACAUGUAGCUGGCCCGGAUGCCCAGGACUGCCUGAGGCUUCUUGGGAUGGUAAGUAAAUGCACAUAUUUUAAAACUUGGAGCCAGAUUUCAAAGGGGCUUUGUAUGUGUUUUUACAAUUAAACCAAGAAAAAAAAAAAUCCUCUCUAUUUUGCGAUGCAGGUAUAGCUCUUUUGAAGCCGGGUGGAAAGCCAGCCAGAUUUAUGAAAGUAGUUACCACACUGAAACUUUAGAAGCUGCCUCCGGUCCUUCUCAGGAUGACGCCCGCUAUGAAAAUCAACAGGCAAAUACAAAUGUAAUUAAAAUAUUAUCACAAAAAUGUAGAUCAGCGUCAACGGGAUCCAAGACAAGAACUUUGACAGGGGAUUUAGGCAGA